GGCUGGUCCGAAGGUAGUGAGUUAUCUCACGUGAUUGUUCACAGUCAGUUACAGAUUGAACUCCUUGUUCUACUACUUUCCCCCCUCCUCACUACUGCACUUGACUAGUCUUCA
Molecule: Y RNA, 114 nt
Filed under: Microcebus murinus (gray mouse lemur)
Lineage: Eukaryota; Metazoa; Chordata; Mammalia; Primates; Cheirogaleidae
Description: Y RNA (ENSMICG00000044049.1)
Rfam family: Y RNA
About the family: Y RNAs are components of the Ro ribonucleoprotein particle (Ro RNP), in association with Ro60 and La proteins.
Source: Rfam by way of RNAcentral